UGCAAGUCGAGCGGUAACAGAAAGUAGCUUGCUACUUUGCUGACGAGCGGCGGACGGGUGAGUAAUGCUUGGGAACAUGCCUUGAGGUGGGGGACAACAGUUGGAAACGACUGCUAAUACCGCAUAAUGUCUACGGACCAAAGGGGGCUUCGGCUCUCGCCUUUAGAUUGGCCCAAGUGGGAUUAGCUAGUUGGUGAGGUAAUGGCUCACCAAGGCAACGAUCCCUAGCUGGUUUGAGAGGAUGAUCAGCCACACUGGAACUGAGACACGGUCCAGACUCCUACGGGAGGCAGCAGUGGGGAAUAUUGCACAAUGGGCGAAAGCCUGAUGCAGCCAUGCCGCGUGUGUGAAGAAGGCCUUCGGGUUGUAAAGCACUUUCAGUCAGGAGGAAAGGGUGUGAGUUAAUACCUCACAUCUGUGACGUUACUGACAGAAGAAGCACCGGCUAACUCCGUGCCAGCAGCCGCGGUAAUACGGAGGGUGCGAGCGUUAAUCGGAAUUACUGGGCGUAAAGCGUACGCAGGCGGUUUGUUAAGCGAGAUGUGAAAGCCGGGCUCAACCUGGGAACUGCAUUUCGAACUGGCAAACUAGAGUGUGAUAGAGGGUGGUAGAAUUUCACGUGUAGCGGUGAAAUGCGUAGAGAUCUGAAGGAAUACCGAUGGCGAAGGCAGCCACCUGGGUCAACACUGACGCUCAUGUACGAAAGCGUGGGGAGCAAACGGGAUUAGAUACCCCGGUAGUCCACGCCGUAAACGAUGUCUACUAGAAGCUCGGAACCUCUGCAAGUCGAUGCAAGUCGAAC
RNAcentral lists this ribosomal RNA (802 nucleotides) under uncultured Pseudoalteromonas sp. RNAcentral describes it as "bacterial SSU rRNA". It matches the Rfam family "Bacterial small subunit ribosomal RNA", at positions 56 to 856 of the family's 1533-position model. Lineage: Bacteria; Pseudomonadati; Pseudomonadota; Gammaproteobacteria; Alteromonadales; Pseudoalteromonadaceae. The record is from RNAcentral.